This 1049-nucleotide long non-coding RNA is filed under the name Heterocephalus glaber (naked mole-rat). RNAcentral's name for it is "lncRNA (ENSHGLG00000043937.1)". The record is from RNAcentral. Lineage: Eukaryota; Metazoa; Chordata; Mammalia; Rodentia; Bathyergidae.
AUUUCAGAAAUAAUUCAAAAUAAUAUUUUUUGGAUGUGUACUACUUGAAAGAUAUAGUUCCAGGAAAAAGAGAUGCAAAGAGAGAUACAUAAAAAGAAGUGUUAAGAAUUGCCCUUUGAGAGUCUGAAGGCUGAAGAGUACCAGAUAAAUUGCAGUCUGUGCCUCAUAGCUAAACAGACUGCCUGAAGUUACAUUUAGAGACUGAAAUCACUGCACCUUAAAAAACAAAAGAUUGAGCUACACUGUGUUCCUGUAAGUGGAAGCUUCUUGCACCUCCCUCUGUGUUUCUGUGACCAAUUCCAAACAGGGACAAAAGCAUUACUAACAUAGUAACAAGAUAUAAGUAAAAAUUUGAAUGUCCUAGGAGAAAUACAUCUUUAAAUAAUUUCUUUCUUUUAAAAGAAGUUUUUAGGCUCAAUAUUCAGUACGUCUUUUUUUAUCUAACUAAAAUUGUGAAUUCUUUCUUUUAGCUGGUUUGAAUUUUGUUACAGAGGGUGUCACCCAUUGUGCAUCAGCACAGUGACAUGCACCCUGUCUGGAUUCUUGGAUUUUGGUACCAAAUUUAUGAAAGGUAAAAGGUUUCUUAUGAAAUCAAAGUAGAUUUUACUUUCCUUUGUGAUGUCAUUAGCAAUUUUUAGCCCUUGUUUCAAUGGAAAUGGAAAGUUCAUGAUGACAUCACAAGGUUCUGAUGCCUUGAGGACUUUGGACAAAACCAAGUAAAAUGCAUAAUUCCCUUGUGUGCGUGUGUUCCCCAUUCUGCUACGAAGCAGUCAAAAUAGUACAUCUUAUGUCUUCCCAUGAGCUACAAGGCUGUCUCUCAGAGCCCCAUUGUUCCAUAAAUGCAUGUCAGAGUCUACCACAGUCUGGUCUACCCUUAUUUAGCUGCUGUUUUGUCAAUGUACUUGGAAGAACAAUUAACAUUUGGGAUUUUAGUGUCUGAAUAACAGGCAGUGAAUAGAACUGGAGCGUAUAAAAGAUUCAGACGCCCAGGGUAAGAAAACAGAAGCUUAUAGUCAGUAGAAGAAAAAAAGAAAAUCAUUUUAAUGCUG